This 301-nucleotide ribosomal RNA is filed under the name uncultured bacterium. RNAcentral's name for it is "partial 16S ribosomal RNA". It matches the Rfam family "Bacterial small subunit ribosomal RNA", at positions 509 to 807 of the family's 1533-position model. The record is from RNAcentral.
CAGUCGCCGCGGGAAUACGAUGGGUGCAAGCGUUAAUCGGAAUUACUGGGCAUAAAGCGUGCGUAGGCGGUGAGUUAAGUCUGCUGUGAAAUCCCCGGGCUCAACCUGGGAAUGGCAGUGGAUACUGGCUCGCUAGAGUGUGUCAGAGGAUGGUGGAAUUCCCGGUGUAGCGGUGAAAUGCGUAGAGAUCGGGAGGAACAUCAGUGGCGAAGGCGGCCAUCUGGGACAACACUGACGCUGAGGCACGAAAGCGUGGGGAGCAAACAGGAUUAGAUACCCCAGUAGUCCCUGUCUCUUAUAC